CGAGUGGUCGGGACGAUUAUUGGGCCUAAAGCAUCCGUAGCUGGUCCUACAAGUCUUCCGUUAAAUCCACCUGCUUAACAGAUGGGCUGCGGAAGAUACUAUAGGGCUAGGAGGCGGGAGAGGCAAGCGGUACUCAGUGGGUAGGGGUAAAAUCCUCUGAUCCAUUGAAGACCACCAGUGGCGAAGGCGGCUUGCCAGAACGCGCUCGACGGUGAGGGAUGAAAGCUGGGGGAGCAAACCGG
RNAcentral lists this ribosomal RNA (242 nucleotides) under uncultured bacterium. RNAcentral describes it as "partial 16S ribosomal RNA". It matches the Rfam family "Archaeal small subunit ribosomal RNA", at positions 485 to 727 of the family's 1478-position model. The record is from RNAcentral.